Molecule: long non-coding RNA, 4368 nt
Filed under: Olea europaea subsp. europaea
Lineage: Eukaryota; Viridiplantae; Streptophyta; Magnoliopsida; Lamiales; Oleaceae
Source: RNAcentral
AAAAUGACUUUUUAAGUUUUAAGCGCGUCCAAAACGCUGGAGGAAAAGUAUUCCGCUGUAAACGGGUAGAGAGAUUCCUUUGCGGUGAAUUUUUUUUCAUACCAUACACAGCGCCGAAAACGACAGCGCGUGGAUGAACUCAAGUCAAUUAGUUGGAAACAACGGAAGCAGCAAGAGAGAGCAUGAUGUACCCUUUGUGUGCGAGUCGUAGUAGAAGGCAUACAGUCCAGUCCCACUCAAGCCGUUCUCCAUCUCUCAGGCGGAGCCUCUCAGGUACCUUCACAUACAUACACACAUAUACAUGCAGAUUACUCAUGUUUUGCUCACUUUUGAGGUCACAUAAACUGUUUGAUGGAUUGUCUAAAUGAAGUGAGUGGGGAACUUGGGUGGUUAAUGUCUUUGCCAGGAGCCUCAAACAUAGUUUUGGAAUCUGUUUAAUGUUAUUAUGUUUUUUAAGGCAAACUGUGGAGGACAUGGCAUAGUUGGUUUAUGUUGUGCAUGUGGCUCAUGUUGAGUAGAACACAGGCUCUGGAUCAAAUGGAUCGAUACCGACGCGGAGUGGAGUGGAGUGAGACGAGCAGAGCGCAUUGAACAGAACGGAGCGGAGCGUCGGCAUCGGCUUUGCGCGGGUUUAAUUCACUAUCUGGUUGUUAGGGACGUUGAAUGGGUUGGGGGUGCGGGGGCAACGCCCCGCGGUACGGUACAGGGGUAUUUUCUGUACGGACCUUAAAGUUUUAUAUGAGCUCAAAUUAGGAUUAGUAUAAAUAAUAUGUUGUAACCCUAUUUUUCACAACUGAAUAAAGAAAUUUCCACUUCGCUCUCGUGGACGUAGGCACAUCGCCGAAUCACGUAAAAUUCUUGUGUUGAUUUUCGUUUUUCAUCUCUUUAAUAUUGCGCAUAAAAUCCAACAGCUUAUAAUAUAGCUCUAAAGCUUUCCCAGCCGGGUUCUUUUCCGUAACAACUAAAAAUCUGAACUUCCUUGGUUUUAAUAUCAUGUCUACACAAAAUUGUUUUAAAUGAUUUUGAUUUAUUUUUUUAUUUUAAUUUAUUUUUUUCAUAUUGGGUUUGAAUUUUAAAGAUUGUGUUUCUCAUCUUUCUUUCUCCUUUUACUUGUACGGUUGUUUGGAAAUGUGGUGUUAGUUAUUAAUUAUUUCAAACGCAUUAUUAUGUCUGAACUUUGUUCAGAUGUGCACGAAAUGAAAAUAAUAAAUUGAUAGACUUGUAACUAAAUCAAAUUUCAGGAAUUACUAGUCCUAUUUAUAACCAUAUGAUAAAGAUUUAUGAUCAUUAUAAUUCUAAUUCUAUAACUGUCCUUCUCAUGCUUUGCAUUGGACUAAUUUUCUCCUAUAACAUAUAUAAGAUUACAUUUUGAAGUGUGCUGGUCGGAUCUUCGGGAUCAGAAUUAAACAAGUCCAGUCAAAUUUAGGUUGGGUUUCAAUGAGUUCUAGUUUCAAAACUCUACUGUGUUGCCAUAUACAUAGAGAACUUAACAUUCAAUCUGUAAUUGGUGGUCAUGAUGAAAAUCCAUAACUGAUCCAUUUUAAAAAGAAAAAUUCCCUUUCAGUUAUCUGUUGUGUCAUCCCUUCUUAAUUCAUGUUUAUGUAAGUGGGAGUGAAGUCAUAAUUCACGUUUCCAGAAUGCAUGUUUUCCCUCCUUUUUUUAGAAGUCCUGGGGAUCUAAAAAGUUAAAGCACCCUUUUUGUCAGUUGAUAUGGAUGGAUGGUAGGAUGGACGGAUGGAGGGGCAAAGACUAGGAGAUUGCAAAAUGCAAAUAAGUAUAUUGCUUGUUAUAAAUUAAAGGAAUAAUCCAUAUUAUUGAGGACAAUUAAUAAUGUUAAAUAAGAAAAAUUAAAACAAGAAAAAUACAUGAUUUAAGGUGAUUCACUCUCAUUGUGAGAGCUACGUGCAUCUGGUACUAUUAUAGAGAAUUACAAUGUGUUUUUGGACUCAUGCAUCUUCGUUUUUUAUCUACCAUGACACAUAGAAUAGAGGCUUAAUACUAAUAAAAAAGAAUAUAUUGAGGUGACCUAAUACACAUGCCAUUUUCCCAAAGUACCUUGUGAGACUUAUAAAUAUUCACUACAAAGAUCCCACCCCCACACACUAGGGGGUAUACUGCCCCCCAAACCCGCAUCAACGUACCAUGAAGGUCCAAUUGUGCCGAGGGAAAGAGAGCAAUAUAUUAGGCUCUACACGUUAAAUAUAGCUUAGCACAAAAGGGUCUGUUGUAGUUAACAUCAGCUGAAGUGUUGCUUGCUUGAUCCAUACUUUGGAUUACACAAGAUCUAGAGAACAAUUUAUAGUGUUCACCAUCAAAUCAAAGGUUCUUGAUUACAAAUUCUACUGAAGUGUGGUAAAUUAUUCUACCGAUUAGGAAAUCCUGAGAUAUCAGGCCCUGGAGUCAAUACUAAACUAAUCCAUAAGUGCUGUUCUUUUGUCAAGCACAACCUGGUUUCAACCCAUGUUUUAUUUUAUUGGCAUAACUUUCUAAUUUCCCUAUGAAUCUUGUCAAAUAUACUCAAUAAGACUCGAUGCCCCUCAAUGUGAGAUGUUCUCUCAUUAUACAGAACCAAAUCAAAAUUAAAUAUGGUAAAAACAAUCUAUCUAUAUUUGGUACAAUUAUAAUAAGAAGCCCAAAAGGCCCAAAAAUUAAAACAAAAAAGGCCCAAUUACAACACUUCUCCUUCUUCCCUCAACCUGCAACAGCGACUUUCUCGCUCUGUAACAAUGGUGGCAGCGAAGUCCACCAGUUUCCUCCCCCAGCCGUGUCCAAUUGAAAUUUGUCCUGUCCGUCCUGUAUUUUAUACCCGUUCCCGUGUCAUGUCGUGUCAACACGGGUAUGCUGGUCAAAAGAAAGGUCUGAGGAUCACAUGAAUCAAUAUGGUUUUAGGAUGGACUGGAAGGACAAUACCAUCGGCAGCUGUACUUGAAUAGUUUCAUGAUCACUAAAAGGUGAAAAAUCCCAAAGCUCAAUAUCACCAGCACUCUCCCCCUGAAUUGAACUAUGGUAGCAUGUGUAUCUUCAAAAAGGUUGACAUCCAUUAUAAUGAGAAGCUUCCUAGUUUUAGGACAGAAACACUUAAAAAAACCUUUUUAACAUGGUGAGUAGCCCAAGAAAAUGCAUUUUAUUGCUCUAGGAUCUAGCUUAGUUUUCGGCAAGGAAUGAACAUAAACUAUGCGUCCAAAGACUUUAACUGGGAGAUUUGAAAAAGUCUAUUGUGUGGGAAAAACUAGAGAAACGUUUGGAGUGGAGUUUUAAACUGAAGGACACUAGAUGGAAGCCGAUUUAUGAGAGCUUCCCCCCAAAAAUUCUUUUGCACAUUAUUAGUAAACAAUAGGCUCUAGCAACUUCUAGGAUAUGUUUGUUUUUUCGUUCAGCAAUACCAUUUUGUUGGGAGGUGCCUACCCGUGUUUGAUGAACAAUCCCAUGAUUACUAAGGUCUACUCCUAGGAUUUGGUUAAAGUAUUCUCGGCCAUUAUAUGUAGGAUUUGAAUUUGAGUUUGGGAUUGGGUUUCAGUCAUUUGGUGGACGUUCUGAAAAAUUUGUGCCGUUUCAGAUUUUUCUUUUAAAACGAAUGCCCAACAAACUCUAGUAUGGUCAUCAAUGAAAAUAAUUCUUUUUGCUUUGAUUGGUCCCCUAAUAUCACUGGGAAACAUCGAAAAUGGUAGAGACUCUGUAUGGCCAUGUAGGAUAAGAACUCUUUUAAAUCCCAUCCAUACCUUAAAUUUAGUCCUGAUCCUCAUAUGUCUACUCAAUCUUAUCAUUAGCAUGCGACAUGCAGCUGGAAGCUCAUUUUUCCUUGGUUUUAAUAAGAAUAUGAUUAUUCCAUCCAAGUCAGUAACACGUUUCCAUUUAAAUUUACUUAAAAGAGUCGUUUGCAGUACUUUCCUUAUUUGCGUUUCUAUUUAACUUAUAUAAUUCAAUUUUUUCCAAGUGUCUAACGUGUAAUUUUGAGACGAACUAUUCUAAUUUUAAAUGGAAAAGAUUUAUUUAUUUAUUUAUUUUGGUCAUAUAUCUUACUGUUUUAAUCAUAAUGCUUUUGUUCUGGACUCAUAAACAUUCUACUUGUGCCGUUGAGAAGCAUCUGCAAUCUCUGAAGUUUUGCAUUUGUUCCAUGCAGCAUUCUUGGUGAUGGAUACCCGUACUUUGAAUUGUUAGCAGUGAAUACGGAUAAAUCUCCAUUAACAGUGUCCCAAAUUAAAGAACGUGUUACGCAGUUUGAAAAAGUUGGCAAGCAUAAAUUUCUAUCCUUUACAACUUGCAAAGGAUAAGAUAAUUUCAGUGCAACUUUUUUGCUUCCAAAUAUGGUUUCCGGAAUGUUUGAAACAAAACUCCGGACUAGCUUUUAUUCAAUUUAAUAAUCCUUGC